Molecule: ribosomal RNA, 484 nt
Filed under: uncultured bacterium
Lineage: Bacteria
Description: partial 16S ribosomal RNA
Rfam family: Bacterial small subunit ribosomal RNA
Source: RNAcentral
AUUGAACGCUGGCGGCAUGCCUUACACAUGCAAGUCGAACGGCAGCGCGGACAUCGCUCUGGCUGCGAGUGGCGAACGGGUGAGUAAUACAUCGGAACGUACCCUGCUGCGGGGGAUAACUAGUCGACAGAUUAGCUCAUACCGCAUACGACCUGAGGGCCUAAGUGGGGGAGCGCAAGGUCUUACGCACCAGCAGCGGCCGAUGUCCGAUUAGCUAGUUGGUGGGGUAAAGGCCCACCAAGGCGACGAUCAGUAGCUGGUCUGAGAGGACGAUCAGCCACACUGGAACUGAGACACGGCCCAGACUCCUACGGGAGGCAGCAGUGGGGAAUUUUGGACAAUGGGGGCAAGCCUGAUCCAGCAAUGCCGCGUGUGUGAAGAAGGCCUUCGGGUUGUAAAGCACUUUUGUCCGGAAAGAAAUGGCGCUGGUUAAUACCUGGCGUGGAUGACGGUACCGGAAGAAUAAGCACCGGCUAACUACGUG